GAUGAACGCUGGCGGCGUGCCUAAUACAUGCCAGUCGAGCGAACAGACGAGGAGCUUGCUCCUCAGACGUUAGCGGCGGACGGGUGAGUAACACGUGGAUAACCUACCUAUAAGACUGGGAUAACUGCGGGAAACCGGAGCUAAUACCGGAUAAUAUAUUGAACCGCAUGGUUCAAUAGUGAAAGACGGCUUUGCUGUCACUUAUAGAUUGAUCCGCGCCGCAUUAGCUAGUUGGUAAGGUAACGGCUUACCAAGGCAACGAUGCGUAGCCGACCUGAGAGGGUGAGCCGCCACACGGGAACUGAGACACGGUCCAGACUCCUACGGGAGGCAGCAGUAGGGAAUCUUCCGCGAUGGGCGAAAGCCUGACGGAACAACGCCGCGUGAGUGAUGAAGAACUUCAGAUCGUAAAACUCUGUUAUUAGGGAAGAACAGAUGUGUAAGUAACUAUGCACGUCUUGACGGUACCUGAUCAGAAAGCCACGGCUAACUACGUG
Molecule: ribosomal RNA, 497 nt
Filed under: uncultured bacterium
Lineage: Bacteria
Description: partial 16S ribosomal RNA
Rfam family: Bacterial small subunit ribosomal RNA
Source: RNAcentral